AACGCACCUUGCGCUCCCUGGUAUUCCGGGGAGCAUGCCUGUUUGAGUGUCGUGAAAUCAUCAUGGUCAUGAUCUUUAAUUAAUCAUGGCUUGGUUUUGGAGGUUAUGUUGGCUUUUUAUUAAGUUGACUCCUCUUAAAUACAUUAGCUCAGUGUUUAAUGCUUAGAGCGGUUCACGGUGUGAUAAUUAUCUACACUUCAACCAAUUUAAGUUAGCUGGCUUCUAAUCGAUCCUUAGUGAUCGCUUCGGUGUGAUAAUUAUCUGCGCCGUAGUCGUGAAGUAUUAAUAAAAGUUCUCGCUUCUAAUCGUCCUUCACGGGACAAUUAACCCUGACUUUUUGACCUCAAAUCAGGUAGGACUACCCGCUGAACUUAA
Molecule: ribosomal RNA, 375 nt
Filed under: uncultured fungus
Lineage: Eukaryota; Fungi
Description: eukaryotic LSU rRNA
Rfam family: 5.8S ribosomal RNA (bases 1-52)
Source: RNAcentral